GCAAGUCGAACGCGAACGUUCCUUCGGGAACAAGUAGAGUGGCGGACGGGUGAGUAACGCGUAGGAAUAUACCUAGUAGUGGGGGAUAACAUGAAGAAAUUCAUGCUAAUACCGCAUAUGUCUUACGAGAUAAAGAGGGCCUCUUCUUGAAAGCUCUCGCUAUUAGAUUAGCCUGCGUCGGAUUAGCUUGUUGGUGGGGUAAUGGCCCACCAAGGCGACGAUCCGUAGCUGGUCUGAGAGGAUGAUC
RNAcentral lists this ribosomal RNA (247 nucleotides) under uncultured bacterium. Its description in RNAcentral is "partial 16S ribosomal RNA". It matches the Rfam family "Bacterial small subunit ribosomal RNA", at positions 57 to 305 of the family's 1533-position model. The record is from RNAcentral.